GUUGGUCUGCCUAGUGCUUGAUCAGCUGUGAGUGAGAUCCUGAGAAAGGCUCCCGGUGACUGAGCUCAAGGAUGGAGCCCCUGGUAAGUAGUGAUGCUUCCUCCUGAAGCUGAACCCAGUCCCCAUCCUUCCUCAGCUCAGCCGCCCACUCUAGACAGCGAUAGGGCAGCUCUGUCUAAACCAGAACAUCCAUAGUUUUUUAGGACUUGGUGACAUUAAAGAUGUAGCAGUCAACUUCACCCAGAAGAGUGGAGCCUGCUAGACAAGUCCCAGAAAAACCUGUUCAGAAAUGUGAUGCUGGAAACUGUCACCCACCUGGUCUCUGUAGGCUAUCAAAUUAGCAAAUCAGAUGUGAUUUCAUAGCUGGAACAAGGAACAGAGCUGUGGACUGAAGCAGCAGGAGGCCUCCAAGGCAGUGAAAGAUCCCUUAAACAACAAGAAAUGAUAUUCAUGCAAAGUAUCUACAGAAAGCACAUAUCCUCUACUAUGUCAGUAGUUUCUCACCAGCAAGGGGAUCCUGCUGGAUGUACUAAUUCGAGAGAUGAAUUAGCUUCUAGAUCUUCACCUCAACAGUCAUCAAUUCACUUAAGAAUGAAACAUGUCAGCAAACAGUGUGGAAAAUCAUGUAGUCAAGGAUCAUUUCUUAAUGCACAGGGUCCUAUUCACACUAGAGGAAAAUCAUGUGAAUGUCUUCUAUGUAAAAAAGUCUUUAAUAAUUACUUUAGCCUCAGAUGACACAGGAUGAUUCACACAGGAGAGAAACCAAACAAAUGCAGUCUGUGUGGAAAUGGCUAUUUUCUGAGAAACCACAAUCGGGUCCACACUGGAGAGAAACGAUUUGAAUGUCAUGUGUGUGGGAAACUCUUCAAAGUUCCUACCUGGAACAUGAGAAAACACACAGGAGAGAAGCCCUAUAAAUGUCACCUGUGUGAGAAAAGUUUUCAUCAAAUCUCUUACCUUAGAAAACACGAGAAA
Molecule: long non-coding RNA, 975 nt
Filed under: Bos indicus x Bos taurus (hybrid cattle)
Lineage: Eukaryota; Metazoa; Chordata; Mammalia; Artiodactyla; Bovidae
Description: lncRNA (ENSBIXG00000010420.1)
Source: RNAcentral